CCGACUAAUGUUGAAAAAUUAGCGGAUGACCUGUGGCUGGGGGUGAAAGGCCAAUCAAACCGGGAGAUAGCUGGUUCUCCCCGAAAGCUAUUUAGGUAGCGCCUCGUGAAUUCAUCUCCGGGGGUAGAGCACUGUUUCGGCUAGGGGGCCAUCCCGGCUUACCAACCCGAUGCAAACUGCGAAUACCGGAGAAUGUUAUCACGGGAGACACACGGCGGGUGCUAACGUCCGUCGUGAAGAGGGAAACAACCCAGACCGCCAGCUAAGGUCCCAAAGUCAUGGUUAAGUGGGAAACGAUGUGGGAAGGCCCAGACAGCCAGGAUGUUGGCUUAGAAGCAGCCAUCAUUUAAAGAAAGCGUAAUAGCUCACUGGUCGAGUCGGCCUGCGCG
This 389-nucleotide ribosomal RNA is filed under the name Salmonella enterica. RNAcentral describes it as "partial 23S ribosomal RNA". It matches the Rfam family "Bacterial large subunit ribosomal RNA", at positions 776 to 1165 of the family's 2925-position model. The record is from RNAcentral. Lineage: Bacteria; Pseudomonadati; Pseudomonadota; Gammaproteobacteria; Enterobacterales; Enterobacteriaceae.